CAAUUUCGUGCCACACAUGGAAAGCUCUGCUUAAACCCUCCGAAGGGUGCAAGUGAGUUAAGCAGAGACUGUCAUUUCACCCGGUCCCAUUAAACAGGGCAUUCAGCAUACAAAAUGCUUCUGGGCCGUGAGCUCAUCUUGCCACUUCCAUAUUUAUUGAAGAUAACACAGAAUUAGGCAGCACUAAUGACACUAAAUGACAUUUAGCUCUGUGCAGUGUGAUUGCAAAUGGCUUCAUUGAAGUAGGCACGUACUGCUUGCCGUGUUUUGCAGACAUGGAGGCUGAAAUGCAGAGGCAAGCUGCGCAAGGUGACAAAAUGCUAACUGGCAGCUGGGGCUAGGACCCAGUCCUGCUUUAUUUUGGAGUGCCCUUGUGUGACAUGUUUCCAGACUUUGCCUUAUGGACCAGCUCCGUCUUUGCCUCUGCACUGCCAGCCCUCUGACCUGUCAGCCACUGGUAUAUCCCUGGGGAUUUGAAAGGUUCAUCUCCUCCUGGCCCCAGAGUCAGGACAUGCCCUGGUACAUGCUGUCCUUAAGGAUGUCUGAAUACAGAGGCCAUCCCCUCUACUGGAAUCAGCCCUGGCCACUUCUCCAGCGAAAAUCAUAAACCUGCAGAAGAGGGUAACCACAAGGCGCCUUCACACACCGGUGCAGAUGACAGAAGUAAUAUGCAACUUCUUAAAAACAGAGUAAAGGGGUAGGCAACAUUCACCUUGGCAUCACAGCACUAUGAAGAUGGACAGCUACUGCUCUCCUCUCUGACUGCACCUUCUUGCAACCAGGUCUUUGGCAAACAGACAUUGACUUAUCCCUGAGUGAAUACUGUACAGUUUAUCAGAGAGUAGAUGAAAAGGCAAGAAGGUUCAGGAACGAGGACAACAAACCAGAUGUCAUCACUAUUACUUGAGACUCUUCUUUCAAAGGUCACAGAUGCUAGGAGGCCAGGUGCAUCUUCUGUUUUUGCACCAGGGAUUCAACCAUCCUGUUAGAGGUAUCACCAAAAUGAUAUUUCGGAGAUAUUCCACAUUCCCUACACCUCUGCCAGCUCGGGGCAGGAGUCAGCCUGAAGUUGCAGCAGGUGUUCAGCACGAGCCUCACUGCUUAGCACUUCCCAGCAUAGAGACCAGCUUUGCUUAUUUAUACUUUGGUGCCUUCCUCAAGGGUUUAUCUCCAGGCCAUCUCAAGCUGUGGAAAGGGAGCAUGUGCCCUCCAAGCAGGACAAAGCAGGGAAGUUAUCCCUCCACCCGUGGUACUCCUACAGCUGUUGUCCUCAUUCCCUCUACCUGCUUGCCCUCAGACCACAGUCCCUGUCUCCUCCCCCCAACAGACAUUGUCACUCAGUCCAUAAAAUCCCUCUGUGGAUGUUAAAUACCCUUUCGUUUUGUUUCUCUGUUUCUCAGGCAAUGUUGUUGUGGAUGGAAAAUGUUCUUUUAUCUCCUCUCUGUCCUCUCUAGUUUGGUUUCUCUCCAUUUACUCCUUUUGGUGGCCAAGUUGCAAUCCAGGACAUAUUACCUCCCACUCUUCUCACCUUCCUGCACCUGUCUGCAAAAGCACCUCAUCUGCUUUGAACUGUUCCUGAAAUAAAGGUACUGGUUCUGCUAGCA
RNAcentral lists this long non-coding RNA (1604 nucleotides) under Anas platyrhynchos platyrhynchos (common mallard). RNAcentral describes it as "lncRNA (ENSAPLG00000025330.1)". The record is from RNAcentral. Lineage: Eukaryota; Metazoa; Chordata; Aves; Anseriformes; Anatidae.